CGGCCUCGGACCGCCCCAGUAUGUGGCACAGGUGACUUCAAGGGAUGGCCGGCUCCUCUCCACCGUCAUCCGUGCCUUGGACACACCGAGUGACGGUCCCUUCUGCCGGAUCUGCCAUGAGGGAGCGAACGGGGAGUGCUUGCUGUCCCCGUGUGGCUGCACGGGCACACUGGGUGCCGUGCACAAGAGCUGUCUGGAGAGGUGGCUUUCCUCAUCUAACACCAGCUACUGCGAGCUGUGCCACACGGAGUUUGCAGUGGAGAAACGGCCUCGACCCCUCACAGAGUGGCUGAAGGACCCGGGGCCGCGGACGGAGAAGCGGACACUGUGCUGCGACAUGGUGUGUUUCCUGUUCAUCACGCCACUGGCCGCCAUCUCAGGCUGGUUGUGCCUGCGCGGGGCCCAGGACCACCUCCGGCUCCACAGCCAGCUGGAGGCUGUGGGUCUCAUUGCCCUCACCAUCGCCCUCUUCACCAUCUAUGUCCUCUGGACACUGGUGAGUGGCCGCAAUCGCGCAGCAU
Molecule: small RNA, 521 nt
Filed under: Pongo abelii (Sumatran orangutan)
Lineage: Eukaryota; Metazoa; Chordata; Mammalia; Primates; Hominidae
Description: retained intron
Source: RNAcentral